GACGAACGCUGGCGGCGUGCCUAAUACAUGCAAGUUGAGCGCUGAAGGUUGGUACUUGUACCAACUGGAUGAGCAGCGAACGGGUGAGUAACGCGUGGGGAAUCUGCCUUUGAGCGGGGGACAACAUUUGGAAACGAAUGCUAAUACCGCAUAAAAACUUUAAACACAAGUUUUAAGUUUGAAAGAUGCAAUUGCAUCACUCAAAGAUGAUCCCGCGUUGUAUUAGCUAGUUGGUGAGGUAAAGGCUCACCAAGGCGAUGAUACAUAGCCGACCUGAGAGGGUGAUCGGCCACAUUGGGACUGAGACACGGCCCAAACUCCUACGGGAGGCAGCAGUAGGGAAUCUUCGGCAAUGGACGAAAGUCUGACCGGGCAACGCCGCGUGAGUGAAGAAGGUUUUCGGAUCGUAAAACUCUGUUGGUAGAGAAGAACGUUGGUGAGAGUGGAAAGCUCAUCAAGUGACGGUAACUACUCAGAAAGGGACGGCUAACUACGUG
Molecule: ribosomal RNA, 497 nt
Filed under: uncultured bacterium
Lineage: Bacteria
Description: partial 16S ribosomal RNA
Rfam family: Bacterial small subunit ribosomal RNA
Source: RNAcentral